This 470-nucleotide ribosomal RNA is filed under the name Vibrio parahaemolyticus. Its description in RNAcentral is "partial 23S ribosomal RNA". It matches the Rfam family "Bacterial large subunit ribosomal RNA", at positions 1308 to 1784 of the family's 2925-position model. Lineage: Bacteria; Pseudomonadati; Pseudomonadota; Gammaproteobacteria; Vibrionales; Vibrionaceae. The record is from RNAcentral.
AGCGAAAGACGGGUGAGAAUCCCGUCCACCGAAUGCCUAAGGUUUCCUGAGGAAGGCUCGUCCGCUCAGGGUUAGUCAGGACCUAAGCCGAGGCCGACAGGCGUAGGCGAUGGACAACAGGUUGAUAUUCCUGUACCACCUCUUUAUCGUUUGAGCAAUGGAGGGACGCAGAAGGAUAGAAGAAGCGUGCGAUUGGUUGUGCACGUCCAAGCAGUUAGGCUGAUAAGUAGGCAAAUCCGCUUAUCGUGAAGGCUGAGCUGUGAUGGGGAAGCUCCUUAUGGAGCGAAGUCUUUGAUUCCCCGCUGCCAAGAAAAGCUUCUAGCGAGAUAAAAGGUGCCUGUACCGCAAACCGACACAGGUAGGCGAGGAGAGAAUCCUAAGGUGUGCGAGAGAACUCUGGUUAAGGAACUCGGCAAAAUGACCCCGUAACUUCGGGAGAAGGGGUGCUUUCUUAACGGAAAGCCGCAGUG